AGAUGUUGACUUUACUCCUUUCAAGCCAACGUCAGCUCCCUCCUGUGGAGUGGGGAACAGGCAGGAAAGUGAGAGGGUGGAAGAAUCGAGGAAGAUAACCCUCAUCCUUUCCAAACUGUGAGGGAAGAUAAAGAGGGAAUCUGAAAGGAGUCAGGCACCUAGGCAAAAAAAUUAUUGAUUCCUGGGGAUAAAAGGACCCCAAACAAAAGCCCCAGUGUUGGCUAUGGAACCAGGAUCACGAGGAGGAGGGAAGCAGAGGGUGGGAGCAUGGCUAGUUUUGGUGCCAGCUCUUCUUGUCUGAGGUAAAGCCUCAUCUCUAGCCAGCAGCAUCCCUAGGACUCAAAAGUCAAGUCAGGCUGCUGGUCUGGGGAGAUAGUCCAGAGGCGGCUUCUUGUCCCAUCUGAGCCCCCAAACCUCUGCUUUUAUGCAAGUCUCUUGAAGAAGCUGCCAGGGAGGACUUUCUAGACCCUUAUUCUACAUUCAUUGCUCCAACUUCUCUUCUCUUUUUUCUUCCUCAGGGAUUUUCUUAUGGGCAAAGAAGCCAAGCUGUAGAAGAAAAGAUAAGCGUCACUGCCAAAUGCCUAGACUGGGAACCUUGCCAGUAGCUCUCAGACUUAUCUGAGGUCUUCACUUUUGUUCUGUUUCCAAAAAUGGAAUUCAAAUUUAUUUUAUUUGGCUUAGAAUAAUUUAACCAACAUUUGUGGGGUACAGUGAAGGAGAUCUGGGCAUGACAUCCACAGCCUGGUUAGCUGCCCAGCACAAAUCCUGUUCUCUCUGCUAUAAUCAAGGAUCCCUCAACUCAUGGGCAUCAUGCUCCACACUCCCCACUAAAGCAGUGCUUACCUUCCACAGGCAGAAGACAAGGAGAGCAAGCAGGAGCAACCCUCCCAGGACACUGCCUAUGAGGAUCCACAGGGAGAUGAGGAUAGGCCGGGUCUGAACCACCUCCAAGAGGCUCUGCGUGGACAGAAGAGUAGUUUUCUACAUGCAUCCUAUAACCCAGCUAGCCUCACCCCACAUUAUAUCAAAGCCAGCCCCCAAAUAGAAUAAAUAACCUCCUGCUACUUAAAGGAAAGAAACUGAGGCAGGAAUGGCGGCAGUGGAACACUAGGAUCCUGCUGCCUGAUGGAGAUGCCUUCGUUCUGAAAAAGCCCACGGGUGGCCCUACCACAUACCCAUCAUCAUUAUUUUCACAGCUCUCAGACUCGGUCUCCAGCCCUACCUCACUCCAACGGGAGGCUUCAGUCAGCUGUAGGACACUGCCCUCUUCGGUUCCCAGCUCAAAGGUGCUGACCACCGUCAGGGACUUGAACUUGGCCUAUGGAACAAGUGGAUAGGAAGACAUUUAAAAUGAGCCAUUAUCAGGUGAUAUAGUUCUUUGGAAUCCCAACAGCAAAGUUGAGGCUGAGAGGCAUAAUGUUGAGGGCUCUCAAGACCAGAAGAAAAGGCUGAAGACCAAUGGGAAAAGAGAGGAAGGGUAAUAGAUGGAAAACCCCUGGUCACAUCUGCUGCUGCUGUUUGUUUUCCAAGGACAAUCAAUACAUCUGGUGCUUUACCUGAAAUGCAUUCUACUCCUCUUUCCUUUGGCUGACCUCUACCCCUCCUUUAGAUUGAAGUUUAGAUGUCAUCCCCUCUGGGAUUUAGGGAAAUCAUUCCUCCUAACCCCCACCAACACUGGUGUUUACUUCUGUUUUUCACUCCUGAACUAUAAGAUCCUCUAGGUUAAAGGCUGUGCCUUACUAACCUUUGUGUCCU
RNAcentral lists this long non-coding RNA (1755 nucleotides) under Homo sapiens (human). RNAcentral's name for it is "HSALNT0295324". Lineage: Eukaryota; Metazoa; Chordata; Mammalia; Primates; Hominidae. The record is from RNAcentral.